RNAcentral lists this ribosomal RNA (468 nucleotides) under uncultured bacterium. RNAcentral describes it as "partial 16S ribosomal RNA". It matches the Rfam family "Bacterial small subunit ribosomal RNA", at positions 28 to 507 of the family's 1533-position model. The record is from RNAcentral.
GACGAACGCUGGCGGCGUGCUUAACACAUGCAAGUCGAACGGAAAGGCCCUGCUUUUGUGGGGUGCUCGAGUGGCGAACGGGUGAGUAACACGUGAGUAACCUGCCCUUGACUUUGGGAUAACUUCAGGAAACUGGGGCUAAUACCGGAUAGGAGCUCCUGCUGCAUGGUGGGGGUUGGAAAGUUUCGGCGGUUGGGGAUGGACUCGCGGCUUAUCAGCUUGUUGGUGGGGUAGUGGCUUACCAAGGCUUUGACGGGUAGCCGGCCUGAGAGGGUGACCGGCCACAUUGGGACUGAGAUACGGCCCAGACUCCUACGGGAGGCAGCAGUGGGGAAUAUUACACAAUGGGCGGAAGCCUGAUGCAGCAACGCCGCGUGCGGGAUGACGGCCUUCGGAUUGUAAACCGCUUUCGCCUGUGACGAAGCGUGAGUGACGGUAAUGGGUAAAGAAGCACCGGCUAACUACGUG